RNAcentral lists this ribosomal RNA (414 nucleotides) under uncultured bacterium. RNAcentral describes it as "bacterial SSU rRNA". It matches the Rfam family "Bacterial small subunit ribosomal RNA", at positions 399 to 830 of the family's 1533-position model. The record is from RNAcentral.
GCGUGAGUGAAGAAGUAAUUCGUUAUGUAAAGCUCUAUCAGCAGGGAAGAUAGUGACGGUACCUGACUAAGAAGCUCCGGCUAAAUACGUGCCAGCAGCCGCGGUAAUACGUAUGGAGCAAGCGUUAUCCGGAUUUACUGGGUGUAAAGGGAGCGUAGACGGUUUUGCAAGUCUGAAGUGAAAGCCCGGGGCUUAACCCCGGGACUGCUUUGGAAACUGUAGGACUAGAGUGCAGGAGAGGUAAGUGGAAUUCCUAGUGCAGCGGUGAAAUGCGUAGAUAUUAGGAGGAACACCAGUGGCGAAGGCGGCUUACUGGACUGUAACUGACGUUGAGGCUCGAAAGCGUGAGGAGCAAACAGGAUUAGAUACCCUGGUAGUCCACGUCGUAAACGAUGAUUACUAGGUGUUGGUGGG